UACAGAGGUCUCAACCGUUGUUCGGAUUUACUGGGCGUAAAGGGCGCGUAGGCGGCCAGCACAAGUCAGUUGUGAAAUCUCCGGGCUUAACUCGGAAAGGUCAACUGAUACUGUGCGGCUAGAGUGCAGAAGGGGCAACUGGAAUUCUCGGUGUAGCGGUGAAAUGCGUAGAUAUCGAGAGGAACACCUGCGGCGAAGGCGGGUUGCUGGGCUGACACUGACGCUGAUGCGCGAAAGCCAGGGGAGCGAACGGG
RNAcentral lists this ribosomal RNA (254 nucleotides) under uncultured bacterium. Its description in RNAcentral is "partial 16S ribosomal RNA". It matches the Rfam family "Bacterial small subunit ribosomal RNA", at positions 524 to 776 of the family's 1533-position model. The record is from RNAcentral.